This 542-nucleotide ribosomal RNA is filed under the name Dorcus montivagus. RNAcentral's name for it is "partial 12S ribosomal RNA". The record is from RNAcentral. Lineage: Eukaryota; Metazoa; Arthropoda; Insecta; Coleoptera; Lucanidae.
CACAUGAUAUACUUCUAAAUUGGGUUUGGGUGAUAAUUAUCUUUUUUGUUGGAGAUGAAAAUUUAUUAUAUAAGGUGAAAUUUUAUAAUUGGUUUAACUUGUUUUGUGAAUGAGACAUUAUUAAAUUUUUUAGGUAAACUAGGAUUAGAUACCCUAUUAUUGAAAAUGUAAAAUUAGAUUCCUGAGGAGUAUUAGGUGUUCUUGAAAUUUAAAAAAUUUGGCGGUGUUUUAGUCUAUUCAGAGGAACCUGUCCUGUAAUUGAUAAUCCACGAUUAAUUUGACUUGUUCUUUAAGUUUGUAUAUCGUCGUUAUUUGAAUAUCUUUUAAAGGGUAAAUAUUCAAUCUUUAAAAUUUUAAUUUAAAUCAGAUCAAGGUGCAGCUUACGUUCAAGUAGAGAUGGGUUACAAUAAAUUUAUUUUUAUGGUUUGAGAGGUGAAAUUCUUACAAUAAAUAGGAUUUGAUAGUAAAAUGGAUAAUUUAAUUAAUUUGAUUUAAGCUCUAAAAUAUGCACAUAUCGCCCGUCGCUCCCGCCCUAAGGCGGG